UCCGUAGGUGAACCUGCGGAAGGAUCAUUCAUAAUCAAGUGUUUUUAUGGCACUUUCAAAAAUCCAUAUCCACCUUGUGUGCAAUGUCAUCUCUCUGGGGGCUGCCGGCUGUCAAAAGCCGUGUGGUCNACCUUUGGGAUUUAUAUCUACUCAGAACUUUAGUGAUUUUGUCUGAAACAUAUUAUGAAUACUUAAUUCAAAAUACAACUUUCAACAACGGAUCUCUUGGCUCUCGCAUCGAUGAAGAACGCAGCGAAAUGCGAUACGUAAUGUGAAUUGCAGAAUUCAGUGAAUCAUCGAAUCUUUGAACGCAUAUUGCGCUCUCUGGUAUUCCGGAGAGCAUGCUUGUUUGAGUAUCAGUAAACACCUCAACUUCCAUAUCUUUUUUGAAAUGGGAGUUGGACUUGAGUGAUCCCAACGCUUUUCCUUACCGAAAAGUGGCGGGUUACUUGAAAUGCAGGUGCAGCUGGACUUUUNCUCUGAGCUAUAAGCAUAUCUAUUUAGUCUGCCUAAAAAACAGAUUAUUACCUUUGCUGCAGCUAACAUAAAGGAGAUUAGUUCUUGUGCUGACUGAUGCAGGAUUCACAAAGACAGGCUUCGGCCGACUUUGUAAACUCGAUCUCAAAUCAAGUAAGACUACCCGCUGAACUUAAGCAUAUCAAUAAGCGGAGGAAAAGAAACUAACAAGGAUUCCCCUAGUAACGGCGAGUGAAGCGGGAUGAGCUCAAAUUUAAAAUCUGGCUGGUUUACUAGUCCGAAUUGUAGUUUAAAGAAGCGUUUUCGGUGGCAGCCUGGGUAUAAAUCCUUUGGAACAGGGUAUCAUAGAGGGUGAGAAUCCCGUCUUUGACUCAGUGCAUGCUACUAUGUGAUACGUUUUCAAAGAGUCGAGUUGUUUGGGAAUGCAGCUCAAAAUGGGUGGUAAAUUUCAUCUAAAGCUAAAUAUUGGCGAGAGACCGAUAGCGAACAAGUACCGUGAGGGAAAGAUGAAAAGAACUUUGAAAAGAGAGUUAAACAGUGCGUGAAAUUGUUGAAAGGGAAACGCUUGAAGU
RNAcentral lists this small RNA (1049 nucleotides) under uncultured fungus. Its description in RNAcentral is "eukaryotic LSU rRNA". The stretch from base 617 to 1049 matches the Rfam family "Eukaryotic large subunit ribosomal RNA", at positions 1 to 429 of the family's 3401-position model. Lineage: Eukaryota; Fungi. The record is from RNAcentral.